RNAcentral lists this unclassified non-coding RNA (239 nucleotides) under Hevea brasiliensis (rubber tree). The record is from RNAcentral. Lineage: Eukaryota; Viridiplantae; Streptophyta; Magnoliopsida; Malpighiales; Euphorbiaceae.
UGCACAAAUUUCUAAGGUCUCUUCUAAUUUUAAGCUCCUCUGCUGGCACCUCCCAAGCAUUGCAUGGUAGGCAAGAAAGAUUUUCAGGAGAAAAAUCUGGAAAACAAAUAGCAUUUUCAUAUAAAAUUGCAUUGAUUUGUGGCUCCAUUUCACUACCCCGUCCAAAAAUAUGUGAGACAUGGGCAUAUGGAAAAUGACUUUCUUCAUCCCAAUUAUAAAUUUGUGCAGCUACCAGCUCC